CUACGGGAGGCAGCAGUGGGGAAUAUUGCACAAUGGGCGAAAGCCUGAUGCAGCAACGCCGCGUGAGCGAUGAAGGUCUUCGGAUCGUAAAGCUCUGUCCUCAAGGAAGAAUUUUGACGGUACUUGAGGAGGAAGCCCCGGCUAACUACGUGCCAGCAGCCGCGGUAAUACGUAGGGGGCUAGCGUUAUCCGGAAUUAUUGGGCGUAAAGGGUGCGUAGGCGGUCCUACAAGUCAGAGGUGAAAGGCUACGGCUCAACCGUAGUAAGCCUUUGAAACUGUAGGACUUGAGUGCAGGAGAGGAGAGUGGAAUUCCCAGUGUAGCGGUGAAAUGCGUAGAUAUUGGGAGGAACACCAGUUGCGAAGGCGGCUCUCUGGACUGUAACUGACGCUGAGGCACGAAAGCGUGGGGAGCGAACAGGAUUAGAUACCCCGGUAG
This 437-nucleotide ribosomal RNA is filed under the name uncultured bacterium. RNAcentral's name for it is "bacterial SSU rRNA". It matches the Rfam family "Bacterial small subunit ribosomal RNA", at positions 339 to 793 of the family's 1533-position model. The record is from RNAcentral.